RNAcentral lists this microRNA precursor (205 nucleotides) under Oryza sativa Japonica Group (Japanese rice). Its description in RNAcentral is "MIR812 microRNA precursor family". It matches the Rfam family "MIR812 microRNA precursor family". Lineage: Eukaryota; Viridiplantae; Streptophyta; Magnoliopsida; Poales; Poaceae. The record is from Rfam by way of RNAcentral.
AAAAAAAACAAACCCUGGUUUCCGUGUCUAAUGUUUGACCGUCCGUCUUAUUUAAAAAAAUUAUAAAAAAAUUAAAAAGAUAAGUCACGCAUAAAGUAUUCAUCAUGUUUUAUCAUCUAACAACAAUGAAAAUACUAAUUAUAAAAAAAUUUCAUAUAAGAUGAACAGUCAAACGUUGGCACGCAAACCCACGGUUUGCUUUUUU